CCCCUAGUAACUGCGAGUGAAGCGGGAAAAGCUCAAAUUUAAAAUCUGGUAGUCUUUGGCUGCCCGAGUUGUAAUCUAGAGAAGCGUUAUCCGCGCUGGACCGUGUACAAGUCUCCUGGAAUGGAGCGUCAUAGAGGGUGAGAAUCCCGUCUUUGACACGGACUACCAGGGCUUUUGUGAUGCGCUCUCGAAGAGUCGAGUUGUUUGGGAAUGCAGCUCAAAAUGGGUGGUAAAUUCCAUCUAAAGCUAAAUAUUGGCGAGAGACCGAUAGCGAACAAGUACCGUGAGGGAAAGAUGAAAAGAACUUUGGAAAGAGAGUUAAACAGUACGUGAAAUUGCUGAAAGGGAAACGCUUGAAGUCAGUCGCGUUGUCCAGGGAUCAACCUUGCUUUUGCUUGGUGCACUUUCUGGUUGACGGGUCAGCAUCAAUUUUGACUAUUGGAAAAAGAUCAGGGGAAUGUGGCAUCUUCGGAUGUGUUAUAGCCCUUGGUUGCAUACAAUGGUUGGGAUUGAGGAACUCAGCACGCCGCAAGGCCGGGUUUUAACCACGUACGUGCUUAGGAUGCUGGCAUAAUGGCUUUAAUCGACCCGUCUUGAAACACGGACCAAGGAGUCUAACAUGCCUGCGAGUGUUUGGGUGGAAAACCCGAGCGCGUAAUGAAAGUGAAAGUUGAGAUCCCUGUCGUGGGGAGCAUCGACGCCCGGACCAGACCUUUUGUGACGGUUCCGCGGUAGAGCAUGUAUGUUGGGACCCGAAAGAUGGUGAACUAUGCCUGAAUAGGGUGAAGCCAGAGGAAACUCUGGUGGAGGCUCGUAGCGAUUCUGAHGUGCA
RNAcentral lists this ribosomal RNA (832 nucleotides) under Cortinarius aff. austrosanguineus 1 FS-2012. RNAcentral's name for it is "eukaryotic LSU rRNA". It matches the Rfam family "Eukaryotic large subunit ribosomal RNA", at positions 77 to 895 of the family's 3401-position model. Lineage: Eukaryota; Fungi; Basidiomycota; Agaricomycetes; Agaricales; Cortinariaceae. The record is from RNAcentral.